GCAGUGGUGAUUCAAUGGUAGAAUUCUCAUCUCCCAUAUGGGAGACCCAUGUUCAAUUCACAACCAAUGCA
This 71-nucleotide transfer RNA is filed under the name Loxodonta africana (African savanna elephant). It matches the Rfam family "tRNA". Rfam says of the family: Transfer RNA (tRNA) molecules are approximately 80 nucleotides in length. Their secondary structure includes four short double-helical elements and three loops (D, anti-codon, and T loops). Lineage: Eukaryota; Metazoa; Chordata; Mammalia; Proboscidea; Elephantidae. The record is from Rfam by way of RNAcentral.